This is a long non-coding RNA of Homo sapiens (human), 929 nucleotides long. The record is from Ensembl. Lineage: Eukaryota; Metazoa; Chordata; Mammalia; Primates; Hominidae.
ACAGUAGGGGACUUAGCAACCUCCUCCCAUGCCUGUCUGCUUUCCUAUUGCAGAGGCAGACAGAGAGAGGCCUCUCUCUGAUUUCUGCCUUCUCUGUCCUAUAGACAUGGUUUUAAUGAGUUAUCCUAAUUAGGUCAGGCCCACCUGAGAUAAUCUCUCCUGAUUAACUUGAAGUCAACUGAUUAGGGACCUUUAUUACAUUGACAGAAUACCUCCACUUUUGCCAUAUAAGCUCUGGCCAGGACAGCCUAUCUGUGCAGGAGGCAUUGCUGGCACCCCGUGGGGACUGAGGACCAAGGAGGAGCUGCUCCCCCACACACGGUUCGUACUUCUGCUCUGUGAAGAGAGACAACUGUGCCCUGUCACCUUCACUGAACUAUGAGGAUAUUUUUAUAAGACAUCUAUUUCCCAGAUGAGAUAUUCCCUGACAAGUUUUAGGAUAUCAUUAUGUUGUCUGCUGGCUCAUCAACUGAGAAAUCAGCUGCCAGUCUUAUUGUUGUCUCUGUAAAGGAAUGUGUUUUUCACAUCUGGCUACGGCACUUACCCAAGCAGAAACGGGGUUUCACCAUGUUAGCCAAGAUGGUCUCGAUCUCCUGACCUCGCGAUCCGCCCGCCUUGGCCUCCCAAAGUGCUGGGAUUAUGCAUUCUCUCUUUACAUCACAAUGACCAUGACCUUGGAUAUGGAGUCCACUCAAAAGUAAUCUGAACUAAUAAACAAAUUCUGCAAGGUUGAAGAAUACAAGGAGAUAUGGAAUCACCAAAGAAUACUGACACAGAAGAACCAAGUAGGAGAGUGUGCAAUUCCCAGUCUCAUAUCUCAUUACAAAACCAAACUAAACAAGGCAUUGGCACAAGAAUAGACAUACAGAUCAAUGGAACAGAACUGAGACCCCAGAAAUAAAACCAAGUGGUCAGCUGACUUUUUGAAA